AAGCUUCCUUUCAGUCCACUUCCCACGAAAAGCAACUCUCCUUUACACUUUUUCUUCAUAGAACACAAAAGACACUCUCGGACAGUUUUUUGUACCUCUUUUGAAUGCCUUUUUCGAAGCUUUUUUUCUCAUGAUCGCACUUGAGUUUUGUCUAAAAGCACGAAGACCGAGAUCUUGUUACAAGAUCAGAAGGAGAACCGGGAGUUGACCAACUGGAAAUGGUUGACUAAGCGACUAUGCGACGUAGGUGUUAGUACAGUAGUUACCUCAGAUUACUACUUGUAUUUGUGGAGUUCAAUCUCCAGCACUCUUUUGUUCACAACCAUUUUGGACUAGUGUUGUGAUAUCAGUUUUUUAGUAUGUCAUUAUGUGUGAAGUAUGUUUUAAGUAUUUGAGAUAUUUAAGUUUGGUGCAUAGUAUUGCUAAA
Long non-coding RNA from Juglans microcarpa x Juglans regia, 427 nucleotides. RefSeq lists it as uncharacterized. NCBI's taxonomy places the organism in Eukaryota, Viridiplantae, Streptophyta, Magnoliopsida, Fagales, Juglandaceae. The record is from RefSeq and is a predicted model, not a curated record. The transcript is spliced from 3 exons.